RNAcentral lists this ribosomal RNA (253 nucleotides) under uncultured bacterium. RNAcentral's name for it is "partial 16S ribosomal RNA". It matches the Rfam family "Bacterial small subunit ribosomal RNA", at positions 524 to 776 of the family's 1533-position model. The record is from RNAcentral.
GACGGAGGAGGCAAGCGUUAUCCGGAAUUAUUGGGCGUAAAGCGUCCGCAGGUGGUUGUGUGUGUCUAUUGUCAAAGCAUCAUGCUUAACAUGAUAAAGGCAGUAGAAACUACACGACUAGAGUGCGUUCGGGGCAGAGGGAAUUCCUGGUGUAGCGGUGAAAUGCGUAGAGAUCAGGAAGAACACCGGUGGCGAAAGCGCUCUGCUAGGCCGCAACUGACACUGAGGGACGAAAGCUAGGGGAGCGAAUGGG